This 545-nucleotide ribosomal RNA is filed under the name Fusarium oxysporum. Its description in RNAcentral is "eukaryotic LSU rRNA". The stretch from base 218 to 371 matches the Rfam family "5.8S ribosomal RNA". Lineage: Eukaryota; Fungi; Ascomycota; Sordariomycetes; Hypocreales; Nectriaceae. The record is from RNAcentral.
UCUUGGUCAAUUAGAGGAAGUAAAAGUCGUAACAAGGUCUCCGUUGGUGAACCAGCGGAGGGAUCAUUACCGAGUUUACAACUCCCAAACCCCUGUGAACAUACCACUUGUUGCCUCGGCGGAUCAGCCCGCUCCCGGUAAAACGGGACGGCCCGCCAGAGGACCCCUAAACUCUGUUUCUAUAUGUAACUUCUGAGUAAAACCAUAAAUAAAUCAAAACUUUCAACAACGGAUCUCUUGGUUCUGGCAUCGAUGAAGAACGCAGCAAAAUGCGAUAAGUAAUGUGAAUUGCAGAAUUCAGUGAAUCAUCGAAUCUUUGAACGCACAUUGCGCCCGCCAGUAUUCUGGCGGGCAUGCCUGUUCGAGCGUCAUUUCAACCCUCAAGCACAGCUUGGUGUUGGGACUCGCGUUAAUUCGCGUUCCUCAAAUUGAUUGGCGGUCACGUCGAGCUUCCAUAGCGUAGUAGUAAAACCCUCGUUACUGGUAAUCGUCGCGGCCACGCCGUUAAACCCCAACUUCUGAAUGUGACCUCGAUCAGUAGGAAA